Molecule: ribosomal RNA, 436 nt
Filed under: uncultured Anaerovorax sp.
Lineage: Bacteria; Bacillati; Bacillota; Clostridia; Peptostreptococcales; Anaerovoracaceae
Description: partial 16S ribosomal RNA
Rfam family: Bacterial small subunit ribosomal RNA
Source: RNAcentral
ACGGAAGGCAGCAGUGGGGAAUAUUGCACAAUGGGGGAAACCCUGAUGCAGCAACGCCGCGUGAGCGAAGAAGGUCUUCGGAUUGUAAAGCUCUGUCCUUGGGGACGAAGAAAGUGACGGUACCCAAGGAGGAAGCCCCGGCUAACUACGUGCCAGCAGCCGCGGUAAUACGUAGGGGGCAAGCGUUAUCCGGAAUUAUUGGGCGUAAAGAGUGCGUAGGUGGUUUCGUAAGCGAGGGGUGAAAGCCCGGGGCUUAACUCCGGUCAGCCUUUCGAACUGCGAGACUUGAGUGCAGGAGGGGAAAGUGGAAUUCCUAGUGUAGCGGUGAAAUGCGUAGAUAUUAGGAGGAACACCAGUGGCGAAGGCGACUUUCUGGACUGUAACUGACACUGAGGCACGAAAGCGUGGGGAGCAAACAGGAUUAGAUACCCUGGUA